This 200-nucleotide ribosomal RNA is filed under the name uncultured bacterium. Its description in RNAcentral is "partial 16S ribosomal RNA". It matches the Rfam family "Bacterial small subunit ribosomal RNA", at positions 29 to 224 of the family's 1533-position model. The record is from RNAcentral.
AGUGAACGCUGGCGGUAGGCCUAACACAUGCAAGUCGAACGGCAGCACAGGGGAGCUUGCUCCCUGGGUGGCGAGUGGCGGACGGGUGAGGAAUACAUCGGAAUCUGCCCAGUCGUGGGGGAUAACCUCGGGAAACCGGGACUAAUACCGCAUACGACCUUAGGGUGAAAGCGGAGGACCGCAAGGCUUCGCGCGAUUGG